AUGCUACAGAUGCGUGACGUCAUGACCAUUGUCUUUCUGCGAAGUUCUUUUCGUAUAAACCACGUUAUUAUAAACCAUCGCUUGGCACGUUUCCCCGGAGAACUGGACCAACACCAUGUUAUUCUUUGGUGGACGCCAUCUGGUAUAUCAGGCAAAAGUCAUCGUACCCACCCUCCACCCCCAGGCUGGGCACAUUUUACCGUAGACCCGAUAUUGACGGGGCGUCCGAUCUGGCGUGAGAAAGAAGGGCCAGCCAGGCGGGAGGCAGCGGCAGCCCAGAGAUUCCAUCGAAGUGCUCCUGCUCUGACGUGAAAGACGUGGGCCCACCAGACAGAGCCAGGACUCCACCAGGACCCCGCUCGACGUCCACACUGUUUUCGUGGCUCUGCUGUCUGUCAAACGUUUUUAUGGAGAUGCUAAUGGCAGACUCCAGUGUGGGAAAGACAUUUUGGUGACUGCAGGCAUGGUGUGAAUCUCAGGGCCAGCAGAGUGCCCUUAAAUUACUACAGGGAUGGGCUGACCCCUGCUUUCUCAAAUAUGUAUGCCAGUUUUCUACUAAAGAAAUAAAAUGUAAAUGCA
Molecule: long non-coding RNA, 579 nt
Organism: Brienomyrus brachyistius
Lineage: Eukaryota; Metazoa; Chordata; Actinopteri; Osteoglossiformes; Mormyridae
Exons: 3
Source: RefSeq, a predicted model, not a curated record